GAAUACAAUUUUCAGAUUUAUUUUUUAUGAUAUCUUCUUAUUAAAAUUCUUUGAUAUUCAAGGAAAAUGUUUGUCUUGUUUAUAAAGCAUUGUUUUAAGAUUUGGUAUCCUUGGCACCACUAAUUUUUGAGUAUAAUGGUGAAUCACAUCUAUACUAUAUUAAAAGGGUUAUAUGAGCAUCAGAGAGUGUGUCCACGUAGGACAAUUAAAUCAGCCAAUUACGAAGCUUUAAAUUGCCAGGUCAUAUUCGCAUAAGUCUCGCCUAAUCCCUAAUUUUGUCUAAAGCGAUCAUCGAUCUCAUCUCGCUGUUGCUGAAUCCGUACGAGACGAUCCGUUUGAUCUGUUCUCUGGAGCCAGCGUACCAACCGUAUUUGAAGUUCGGAUCUCCGCCGUUCUUCCUCGCCAUGGCCUCCGUGAAGAUGCGAAAGGCUAGAGACUUGGCUCUCGUGGUGAUCGCGUUCGGAGAUUUCUUACGAUCGUGGUGGCGUUAGCGAUAGUGGCGCUUAAGCCGGAGAGGAAACACGUGGUGAUGACGUCGUGCUCUUAGUUCCCUUCGCGGAGAAGAAUCGUUGAGUCGGUCGAGGAGGAGGAGGCAUCAUCGGAGAGGGGAUCGAGAAUUUCGCCGUUAUCGAGUUCGAUCUCAACCUGCGCCGCCAUCACCAAGUGGAAAGAAAGUGCGAGAAAAUGAGAGAGAGAGAAGUUUUUCUUGAGAAAAUGUGGAAGAAAGCAGAGUCGUCCCCUCUCUCUCUCUCUCCAACGUUAUAAACGAUUUGCUCUGUAUUAUUCAUCUUCACCUGAAUGAAACUCAAGAUCAAGGGAGGAUGAUCCCCUUUCAAGUAUAGUAUUUGCCGGAGCUUUGCCGUGGAGUCCGUUGUGGCCGUGCUAUUGACGUUUUAGAUUUGAAUCAGCCUACACGGACCUAACAGCAACAGGGAUUCCAGCGGACUAACAGAAGCAGCCGUGGAGAGGCAAGGCAGGGACGAGAUUAGCGGCCAGAAAUUUGAAAGGAAAUCUUCAGAAGAAUCAGAUAGUAAGAUUGUUGGUGAAGAAGAGAAGGAAGAUAUGUCGCUUGGUAAUGGUAGUGGUGGCUCUAACAAGGCGGCUACACAUGACAAAGACAGAGAUACUUCUCCUUCCCAUGAAGGGAUAAAACUUUCUCUAUGAUUGUGCUGUUUAAAAUGAUCAUUUAUGCAUAGCCUUGGUUUAGUAUUUUUGGUUUAUAAAAGUCAUGACUACAAUUCAACAGGGUAUUGGAAAGAGCUACUAUGGGCAGCUUCGUGUUCUCUCUGGAGGUCAAGCACCUGGUGGGCACACUGCUUUAUAUGGACCAUUCGGGUGAUCCUGCAAGUUUUCAUGCUGCUGUAGCAAAGACAUGUUUUGAGCUGAAGAAUCAACUCAUCACUGCUAGCUAUGUUGAUGAUGAAACAUCCAUGUAGAUGGCUAAGAAAUACUUGGAUUAUGAUUCUUGGUGAAGUGACAUCUCACAACUUGGAUAAUUGAGAAUGAGGCUCAUAUCAGCAAGGGGAAAGUGAAGUCUUUCACGCUCUUCCUGUGGUAGCAUUCCCUUUUCUUCUGCAGCAGAUAAUUUAUUAGCACAGAUUGAAUGACUUCAAUCUGAUGUAUUCAAAUCAUGCAAUAAUGUGAUCAAGAGCUCACAUUCACCUUCCGCUUUUUAAUAUUUAUUAUGUAUCUUUUUUUUGGGAAUCAUAAUAAGCAAUAAUAUUUUACGGUACAUAUGCAUUACAAUUACAACCAAAAGAAAAUUAAAGAAAAACAGUGAGCAUAUAAAGUUAGCUUAAAAAGGGACCCCAUAGAGAAAAUACAUUUAAAAAUAUAUAGUAAAUUAUUAAAUAAACAAAAUAAAAUUGGAACAAAUUUAAAUAGUAAAUAUAUUUAAGACUCAAACAAAUAUGUAUAAUUUUAAAUAGUAAUGACCACUAUUAAAUUUUUAUGUAGUUUAUCUGAUUUAAUUAUAUUUCCAGUUAAAAUGGAUUAAACUUCACAACUUAUUACUUAUAACUUCAUUAAACUCAUCAGCAAUUUUUAAAAACUAAUUCUAACUAUUAAUAUAGUUAAACUAAAACAAACAUUAAAAUGAAUAGUCAAAUAAACAGAAUUUUUUUUAUAGUAAAAAACAUGUCGGACGUUCGACAACUGUCUCGCAACGAGCUUCUACCAAGAGAUAUAAAUGUUACUUGCACAGCUCGUGAAGUCCUCUGAAACCGACUUACGUUACACAAUGGCGUCGACGCCGGUUCUGGGGUUGGCAGCAGGAGACUCACGUAUAUACAAGGACCUGGAUCUCCAGACGCAUACAUUUUCCUGAUUGGCUUUUAUCAACCGUUUCCGUGAUCUUAUGGAUCGAUGUCUUGCUAGCGGUAACAUCCAGGCACACUACGUGCAAGGAAUUCAUGAAUAUUUUCGCAACAACACAAUCAAUGGCAUGCACCAUUUACGCGUCUCAGCAGGUGGUUCUUACGCAGAUGGUGUAAUCAUGUUGUGCAGAGGUGAGCGAGCUGUCAGUCAUGCCUACAUAUACAUGCUUGGUUGGAGGGAGUCCCCAACUAAAUUAGACGAAUGCUGGAGGCGAAUUAAAACUUCGCUUCAUGGUAUUGUUGUUACGAGACUCCCGGUUUACAUGACGACGUACCAAGAAACAAGAGGUGCUAUUACUAGCCUUUGCCAAAGGAACCUGCGGAAGCUCGAGCCACCGGAAAGAUGCCAUGUCAAUGACAUGGACAAUUACUGCGAGCUUUGCUUAUGCUACAAGUAAAUCAAGCAGUUCAUUGCUAUCCUUUGAGAUCACAUUAGUGUUUUGCAGUUCGUUGUUAUAUCGAAUCGUAUUCCAUACAAAAUCCAUGGUAAUCGCAGGAAAAUUUGAUUUCCGGUUUUGGCUGGAAGUUUGCUUUUUGUGGUGGAAAAAUUGAUUUCGUGGUUUUGACUGAAAAUUUUGAUUUUCUCUGCUUUGGCCAAAAUAUUCGAUUUUGUGGUUCUUGCGGAAAAAAGAAUUUGUUGUUUUAGCGGGCUGGAAAUUUUGUGUUUACGAUUUUGGAGGGAAGAUUCAAGUUCACGGCUUUGGCAAAAAUUUUAAUUUUGUGAUUUUGGCGAAAACUUUUGCUCUUGCGGUUGUGACGGGAAAAAACAAUUUUUAUUUAUUUUGGCAGUAAAUUUCAAUUUUUUUUUUAUUUUAUCGAGAAAAUACAAUUUGCGGUUUUAGAGGAAAAAUCUAAUUUGAUGUUUUAGAUGGAAAUCCGAUUUGCGGUUUAGAGAAAAAAAUUAAUUUUACGGGUUUGCCGAAAAAAUCGACUUUUCGUUUUUUGAAAAAAAACAACUAAAACCUCAUUUUCCAUAAUCAAUCUUUAAAUAUUUUUAUAAUAUUUUUAAAAAGUGUUUUUUCUUCCAAAUAGUCAUACAUUAAAAAUAAAUAUUAAAAACAGAAGAUCAUAUAUCAUUUUAAAUUGGUCAAAACAAGUUUAAAUGAGUCAAUGUAAUAUUUGAGGGUCUAAAUGAAAAAUUCUAAUAGAUUUAUUUUAAAAUUAAUCUAACGGCAUAGCUUUUGAAUGGGGUGAGUCUUAAUUUUUUUUUUUUGACAAGAUGGGAUGUGUCUUAAAUGGGGUGGGUUUUCCCAUUUUAACAUCCAUAUACUCCAAUGUAAAGAACAUUACCAUUAGAUUAUUUUGGUUUGACAUUAGAAGUUCGGUAGCUCAUAUAAAUCUAACACCAUGUUAUGUUGUUAAAGGUUUCGGGCAUUAGUAAAUUAAUAAAAAUGUAGCAAUCAAUAAUGUGAACUUAUUAUAGUAUAUAUUGUAAUCAAUCUAAGUAUAAAAAUAUAUUUAUAUUCAGAUACAAAUUAUAAAGUAAUUUAAAUUUAAUUAAAAUAUAUGGAAAAUAACCCGGGCGUAGCCCGGGAAAAUUUCUAGUCCUUAAUAAAGAUUAUAUACAACCUAUCUAUGGAAAUACACUAGGCGUGAAUCGAGCGGUGAGUGGCUUAGCGAUCUAUCAGAAAAAUUCGGCCAUUAAAUGGAGAUUAAUAGGGAGUUGAUUCCAUUUUUUCAGGUUUUGACUAAGUGUAUAUAAAAUAAGUAGCUUAGAGCAUCUCCAAUGGUGUUACCCACCAUUGGAGUCCUUAGCCAUAUUUUAAUAUUUUUUUUUCUUUUCUGAAUAGUUAAGGACUUUGAUCCUAAUUAUAUGUCCAAUGGUGUUACCCACCAUUGGAGUCCUUAGCCAUAUUUUAAUAUUUUUUUUCUUUUCUGAAUAGUUAAGGACUUUGAUCCUAAUUAUAUGUCCAAUGGUGUUACUACUAUGAAGAUCUUAUAAUUUUUUUUUUUUUUAAGAAAUUAAAAAUUAUGAAAGUUGCAAAACAUUAAAAUUGAAAAUUCAUUUAUUGAAUGAUUAAAUGCAAACAUACAAUAAUUAUUCAUCUUGAAAGCGAGAUUUAAUGAAGCAGUAUGGAUAUUAUUUGCAAACUCCUACUAAUUUCACACGAGGCAGAGAUGAAGGAUAAUUUAAUCCACUAACCUCACAGGGCUCUCUCGAGUUCAGCCACACGCAUAAGCAGCAUUCUCACCUCGUCCUGCAGCAUUCUCACCUCGUCCUGAACAUACAUCAUACAGUUAUUACAGAACUAUAGUCCUACCCACAUAUAAGUAAAGUCCUAAAGACAUAACAGAUCACUCAUCACUCACCUUAACUGCCUGGCACUCUCUCAGAAGCUUCGCCUGCUCGUGAUACCGUUCUUUGAGCCUCUCAACUUCUUCAUGAAUAGCCGUAACCCAUGGUUGCCUGAAAUGCAGCCCAUCAUUCUGCAAAAAAAGAUAAACAUUUGUCAGAAUAUGAACCAUAAAAAUAACCAGAUUAAUUACAGUACAUACCUCAAAGUCUUUGCAGAUAAAGUAUCUUUUUCCCGGGAGGUAGUCGUACGUAUCAUCUUCAUCAACGGUUUCUUUCGUGAUUGAUCCACAGGGGCAAAUUUUGGGAAUCCCCUGUUGCGCAUUUGCAACAAAAUCGAUCAUGUUGUAGUACUCUUUUUGUGCUUUCUUAUCGCGAAGUUCUUCCUCCAUUUCAAAACCUGCAAGGAAAAUCAUGUUAUCAGAUUCAUAAUUAGCUAUAAGGAUAGCUUAACACAAAUGGUUUCAACUAUCCCGAACCCGUAAUCGAUUUACAAAUCAAUCUCGAACCGUAAAAUUAUUUAUAACUCUUCACGGAACGUAAAUCAAUCCAGAAGUCAAUCCCAACUCAAUUUCAAACCCUAUAUCUAUUAAAACCAUACGAUAGAACUCUCAAACAACAAAGAACCGAUUCGAGAUGCAGAAAAUAACAAACCUAGACGAAAACCGUAAAUCGAAAAAAAUCCCCAAUUCGAUUUGAAACCUAAAAUCGAUUUUUACCACACGAUAGAACCCUAGAACUGACUAAUCAACAUGCAUCAACACCUAAUCCAAAAAUAUUGAGUUAAGAGCACGCGAUUUACCUUCACCGUUUCACGAUCUCUGAAUCGCCUUUCGCCUUCGGGAGAGUUUUUUUUUCGAGACGGAGAAAGAGAAUGAAUGUUUUUUUCCACAUACGAAACACAACCCCUACCACGACCACUCCCGCCUUGCCACGUGAUUAAGGAUUUGAUCCUUAAACCCCUUAGUUUAGGAUCAAUCCUUCGGUUACGACAUUUUAAAAUUAUUUUUUUAAUUGCUUUUACCUAAGUUAUCGCGCUUAGGAUUCAUCACGAACCCGCGUUGCGGGUGCUCUUACGGGAAGGAAAAAAUUAAGGAUAAGAUGGUUUGAUGAUUGGAUAGGAAUCAGCCUAACAUGUCUCGAGUUCGCGUUUGGUAUAGUGUGUUUUGACUUUUUGUGUUUGUUUUAAAUGAGUGGUAUAAAAAAAUAAAAAUAAAAAAAAUAAAAAAAAAUAAAUGAGUGGUGUAAUCGUAAAUACACUCAUCUUCUCCAUGAUUUGUUUAGGUUUCCUGCAACUUUUUUUGCCAUCGUCAACAAUUGAAUUGUCAAAAUAAACUUUUUCUUGCCGAACAUAGUGAAAACGCCACAUGAAGCUUCCGUCUGCCGCUCCGUCGGUUGUUAAUCGGGAUCCACAGUUCGGUUUUGAACAUGGCACACAACCAUUAAAUAUUUGAUCUCAAUUGAGAUAUAUUCUGAUGAUGAGACUGUUCUUGAAGCUGCUUCUCGUGAAGUAAUGGAAGAAACAAGACAGGAGUUAAAGGAAUAACACGAGUAUGUUUUCUGUGCCAGCAUAGAUACUUCAUCACAAGUAGAGAAAGUUCUCAAGUUACAAAAAAAAAAGUAGAGAAAGUUUUGUAUAGAUUAGAUUGGAUUAUCUUUUAGUGUUUGGCUGUUUUAUACAAAAUCAAUUGAGUUAGGAAAUUUAGAUUGGAUUGUCUUUUAAUGUCCUAUUGUUUAUGUAAGCAUAUUUUGAACUACUUGAUUCCGAUGUUUUUAAUUAAUAAAGUUUAAUUAUAAAUGUUUUUCAUUUACAAUUAAUUAUUUGCUUAUAAAUUCAAAUAUAAAUUAAAAUUUUAAUUUUUGUAAAAUAAAAUAAUAAAUAUCAGUGCAGUCCCUAAGUAGUUGCUAAUAUUUGAAACGACUGUGUAACUCCAAAUACCAUGUGGUUGCAUAUGAGUCGCACUUUUUUGUCACAACUUUAUCACUAAUGAACUAAAAACCCCAACUACAUUGUCGUUAUGGAUAUUACCACGAAAUUGUAACUUAAUUUAUGAUUUCCAAUGUAGUUAUACAUUAGUCACAAAAUUAGCUACUUAUUGUGAAGUCUCACAGUAGUUGCUAUUUGGCAACCAAUUUGCGACUACAAUUAUUUGCGACGAGUUGUUUCUUACUUCAACCCGUAGUUGCAAAAAGGUAACAAAAGUCAUAUUUGUGACUAUUUUGUCACUAUAUAUGUAGUGUGGCAAAAUCAGUGUUUUAUUGUAGUGAAACACAGUACCUAUCGUACCUCAACUUGGCUGAUAAUACAUAAACACUCUCUGCACACUGUAUUUUCUCAUAAGAAUAUAUGUAUAUAUGUAAGUAUCGCUAGUACAAUAGUCCAUCUUUGUACCCCUCCCCCCGCAAUCCGUUCGUCGACAAAUAUCUUUGUACCUCCGCAAUCUAUUCGUUGCGACUGAUACUAACGUCUUUGUACCCCUGAAAUCUACCCGUCGGCGACUAAUAAUAACGUACUAGAACUUGACUCGCGCUCCCGCGCGGAUGUUUGAUUUAACUUGUGUUUAACGUAAACUCAUAAACUGCUGGUUUUUAUAAAAAAAUUCCAUGUACAAUGUCUGAGUGUAGAAAACUUCCUUUUAAAAGCUUAAUAUCUUCUAAAUAGCUUUCAAAUGCUGGUCAUUCUUCUGGUUCCGAAACCAUCUUCACCAACUGAGAACAAUCCGUUGCAAAUAUUUGCACAUAAUAUUAUAUUAUAAAUUUUAUAACUUGAUGCAACUGAUGACAAUAUAUAUAUAUAUAUAUAACUUGAUGCAACUUGAUGUAAUAUAGGAAUAUCGAUUUGGUUAGAUAAGUUUCGGUAUUGUAAUUAAUUAGUCUAAAUUAAUUUUAAAUGCAGUCGCAGAAUAUGUAAAUAAAAAGAAAUAAAAAAAGUAAAUAUU
Molecule: long non-coding RNA, 7607 nt
Organism: Brassica napus (rape)
Lineage: Eukaryota; Viridiplantae; Streptophyta; Magnoliopsida; Brassicales; Brassicaceae
Exons: 5
Source: RefSeq, a predicted model, not a curated record